RNAcentral lists this ribosomal RNA (253 nucleotides) under uncultured bacterium. RNAcentral describes it as "partial 16S ribosomal RNA". It matches the Rfam family "Bacterial small subunit ribosomal RNA", at positions 524 to 776 of the family's 1533-position model. The record is from RNAcentral.
UACAGAGGGUGCGAGCGUUGUCCGGAAUCACUGGGCGUAAAGGGCGCGUAGGCGGUCUCUUAAGCGUGUGGUGAAAGCCCGGGGCUCAACUCCGGGUCGGCCGUGCGAACUGGGGGACUGGAGCUUGUCAGAGGCAGGCGGAAUUCCGGGUGUAGCGGUGGAAUGCGUAGAGAUCCGGAAGAACACCGGUGGCGAAGGCGGUCUGCUGGGCAGUAGCUGACACUGAGGCGCGACAGCGUGGGGAGCAAACAGG